Molecule: ribosomal RNA, 698 nt
Filed under: Ceratobasidium sp. AG-A
Lineage: Eukaryota; Fungi; Basidiomycota; Agaricomycetes; Cantharellales; Ceratobasidiaceae
Description: eukaryotic LSU rRNA
Rfam family: 5.8S ribosomal RNA (bases 254-407)
Source: RNAcentral
UCUUGGUCAUUUAGAGGAAGUAAAAGUCGUAACAAGGUUUCCGUAGGUGACCUGCGGAAGGAUCAUUAUUGAAUGAACUUAGAGUCGGUUGUCGCUGGCUGUCUUUGGCAGCAUGUGCACGCCUUCUCUAUUCAUCCACACACCCCUGUGCACUUGUGAGACUGGAGGCCGUAAAAAGCCUUCAGUCUGCUAAAUUCAUAUACAAACUCAUUUAAUUGAACUGAAUGUACUUGAUGUAACGCAUCAUUAAACUAAGUUUCAACAACGGAUCUCUUGGCUCUCGCAUCGAUGAAGAACGCAGCGAAAUGCGAUAAGUAAUGUGAAUUGCAGAAUUCAGUGAAUCAUCGAAUCUUUGAACGCACCUUGCGCUCCUUGGUAUUCCUUGGAGCAUGCCUGUUUGAGUAUCAUGAAAUUCUCAAAGUAAACCUUUUGUUAAUUCAACUGGCCUUGCUUUGGAUUUGGAGGUCUUGCAGAUGUCACAGUCUGCUCCUCUUAAAUAUAUUAGCUGGAUCUCAGUAUACACUUGGUUCCACUCGGCGUGAUAAGUAUCACUCGCUGAGGACACUGUAAAAGGUGGCCAGGCAAUGCAGAUGAACCGCUUCUAAUAGUCCAUUCACUUGGACAAUUACAUUUAUGAUCUGAUCUCAAAUCAGGUAGGACUACCCGCUGAACUUAAGCAUAUCAAUAAGCCGGAGGAA